This is a long non-coding RNA of Canis lupus familiaris (dog), 2412 nucleotides long. RefSeq lists it as uncharacterized. NCBI's taxonomy places the organism in Eukaryota, Metazoa, Chordata, Mammalia, Carnivora, Canidae. The transcript has 3 exons. The record is from RefSeq and is a predicted model, not a curated record.
GAGCACAGAGCUGGACGUGGGGCUCAACCCCACAACCCUGAGAUCACGACCUGAGCCAAAAUCAAGAGUCAGAUGCUUAACCAACUGAGCCACCCAGGCGCCCCCCAGAAUCAGUUUAAACCAGGAGAAGCCCUGCUUCUCCCUCUGCCUGUGUCUCUGCCCUCCCCCCAUCUCUCAUGAAUAAAUAAAUAAAAUCUUAAAAACAAAACAAAACAGGAGCAGUUCACAAGUAACCAGUUGCUGCUCUUAGAUACUAAAAAUAGGAUCCUGAAUUUAAAAAUUCAAAGCUUGGAAAAGAAAGCUGAAGAAAUCUGUCUGGAAAAAUGUACAGAGUCAAAAAGAUUGAGUAGGAGAAGAAAAUAAGAAAAUUAGAGGAUCAACCCCAAACGUCCGUUAGACAAACAGGAGUUCCAGAAAAGGAGAAGAGAUAAAACAGGAAAGAAGAAAGUACAACAAACAAACCAACAAAACCCAGUACAUUUCCCAGGACUGAAGGACGUGACUCUUCAGAUGGAAAGGGCUGGGUGGACAUGUCGCACAUCACUGGUUCUGAAAGAAGAGUCUUCCCUGAAGGGUAUUUGAGGCCGAGCAGUGUGAUUCCCACUGCUGGCUGUUGCCCACGGAGUAAAUAUUCUGCCACCAGGUAUCCAUUCUGCCAUUGAUGGAUUUGCAUGUUCCCAGUCGGGGGCUACGAUUACAUUUUGCCCCCGUGAAUGUGCUUAUUUGUAUCUUGUGGGUGCACAUGGAGAAGUAGAGUUAGGAACCAUGGGCUGUAGGUACAAUCUGUUGUGGUGGAGGCAGUCAGUCAGUUUUCCAGAGUGGUUGAGCCAAGUGACAUCACAGUCAGCAAUUCUGGAGAGUUCCAGUGGUGUCAUUCAUGUCAGCAGUAGAUGCCGUCUUUUUCACCCAUUGCCUUUGAGGUCAGCGUCGUGAAUUUUACAAAGACCCACCAGAAGGAAGAGCCCUCUACGAUGCGGGAGCUCUUUGAAUCCGGUUCCGGAAAGAACGUAAACAAGAAGGCAGCUAAACAAGGCAGAGGUAGCAGGUGCCAAAUCCUGUGUCACCGGCCACAUUAUGGGCUUCAGAUUUGAGUCUGUGCACACUGGAAGCUACUGAAGAACUGCUUUUGAGAGUCUGGAAUGUCCUUUUGUCCACAGUGUGGAAAGCAGACUAGAGAAGCCAAAAGCGAUGCCCAGAGGGCACCAAGCUAUGGGGACAUCUCAGAUGCUCAUCCCUGAUCCAUCUGCUGAAGCCUCGGGAGGCUCUGCAGGGCAGGCGGGGUUUCGCUCCCAGAGAUGCAAGGGCAGCUCAGAGGGCACGUCCAGGGAGGACAGGACCACCUGGAUGCACCGCUACAGGCCCCUGUUCUGUGGCUUCUGUGGUAUGUAGGGGAAGCAAGUUCCCAAAGAGCCAGCGUGAUCUCACUCUUCACAACGACCCCUUCUGAUCCUGAAGCAAACGUCCUCAUGGCCCGGCUGUUCCUUGCCCAGCAGAGCAGCUGGGACACAGCAGGGACGGCUUGGCCACAGCAUUCUGGAUGACAGGCACUUCCCCCAGCUAUCACCCACUUGAAAGAACCCGACAUAGGACCAAUAUUUGAAAAGUCUCAUGUAAGAACCAGGCCAGCCCCAGAAGCCAAGGUUAACUCCUCGUAGUUCCCUGUGCUUGUUCAUUCCUGACCCAGAAACCCAAGAUGUGACAUUUCCGAGGUGUUGAACGAACGUAUGCAGCUGAGAACUGGGGCAGGCUCAUUUGUUUGUGCAGUGUUGAUGGCCAACGUUAAUCACCAAGGAGACCCAGAGAUGCAUUCCUCCUCGCUUAAGGAGCCCAAGCAAAUUAUGCUGAAAUCCUUCCAAGGGUUGAAAUAUGUUUAUAAAUUCUCCUUGCUGAACUGUUGGCCCCAAGAAAUCUUAUAAUAAUAAAGCGCUUACGUGUUGGGUGGGUUGCUUGGGUUCUUACCCCUCUGCCCCCACCCCCAUACAUGUGCAAUGUUUUCUGUUUAUGGAGCAGUGUGUUACUAUCACAUCUUCUCAUUUACCACCCACAAAAGGAUAUGCAUCAAGCACUGAAGUAAGAGCCCCAUGUAUCAGAUGGGUAAUGAAUUUCUCCCCACGCUGCUGGAUUCAUUACCGUGAUUUAUGGCUGUUUUAAUGUACACAGCCUUCUUAAACAACUUAGAGUUGAUUGUUCUGGAACUAGGUCUGAGUCUCAGAUAACUCCCUGGAGCUGUGCCAUUGUUCAGGAAAGUUAAUGGUGUCCCUGGGCAGGUAAACAACCUUGGAUCAAAGGCUUUAGGUUACCCACAAACACCAUCGAUUGAAAUGGGAAGGGCUUAUAAUGGGGUGGGGGGCACCGCUAUGAUAAUCCUUCUAAAGGCCGAAGCAACCCAGAGCAACCGGGAAGUGCAUCUCC